AGUGAACGCUGGCGGUAGGCCUAACACAUGCAAGUCGAACGGCAGCACAGUAAGAGCUUGCUCUUACGGGUGGCGAGUGGCGGACGGGUGAGGAAUACAUCGGAAUCUACUUUUUCGUGGGGGAUAACGUAGGGAAACUUACGCUAAUACCGCAUACGACCUACGGGUGAAAGCAGGGGAUCUUCGGACCUUGCGCGAUUGAAUGAGCCGAUGUCGGAUUAGCUAGUUGGCGGGGUAAAGGCCCACCAAGGCGACGAUCCGUAGCUGGUCUGAGAGGAUGAUCGGCCACACUGGAACUGAGACACGGUCCAGACUCCUACGGGAGGCAGCAGUGGGGAAUAUUGGACAAUGGGCGCAAGCCUGAUCCAGCCAUACCGCGUGGGUGAAGAAGGCCUUCGGGUUGUAAAGCCCUUUUGUUGGGAAAGAAAAGCAGCAGGUUAAUACCCCGCUGUUCUGACAGUACCCAAAGAAUAAGCACCGGCUAACUUCGUG
This 492-nucleotide ribosomal RNA is filed under the name uncultured bacterium. RNAcentral describes it as "partial 16S ribosomal RNA". It matches the Rfam family "Bacterial small subunit ribosomal RNA", at positions 29 to 507 of the family's 1533-position model. The record is from RNAcentral.